Molecule: ribosomal RNA, 156 nt
Filed under: Ophiocordyceps sinensis
Lineage: Eukaryota; Fungi; Ascomycota; Sordariomycetes; Hypocreales; Ophiocordycipitaceae
Description: 5.8S ribosomal RNA
Rfam family: 5.8S ribosomal RNA
About the family: 5.8S ribosomal RNA (5.8S rRNA) is a component of the large subunit of the eukaryotic ribosome. It is transcribed by RNA polymerase I as part of the 45S precursor that also contains 18S and 28S rRNA. Functionally, it is thought that 5.8S rRNA may be involved in ribosome translocation.
Source: RNAcentral
AACUCUCAACAACGGAUCUCUUGGUUCUGGCAUCGAUGAAGAACGCAGCGAAAUGCGAUAAGUAAUGUGAAUUGCAGAAUUCAGUGAACCAUCGAAUCUUUGAACGCACAUUGCGCCCGCCAGCACUCUGGCGGGCAUGCCUGUCCGAGCGUCAUC